This 84-nucleotide transfer RNA is filed under the name Apiotrichum porosum. RNAcentral's name for it is "Trichosporon porosum tRNA". It matches the Rfam family "tRNA". From Rfam's summary of the family: Transfer RNA (tRNA) molecules are approximately 80 nucleotides in length. Their secondary structure includes four short double-helical elements and three loops (D, anti-codon, and T loops). The record is from Rfam by way of RNAcentral. Lineage: Eukaryota; Fungi; Basidiomycota; Tremellomycetes; Trichosporonales; Trichosporonaceae.
UACCCUAUGGCUCAGUUGGUUAGCGCGUGGAGCUGUUACUUGCAACAUACUCCGAGGUCCCAGGUUCGAGCCCUGGUGGGGUAG